Long non-coding RNA from Nannospalax galili (Upper Galilee mountains blind mole rat), 2892 nucleotides. RefSeq lists it as uncharacterized. The record is from RefSeq and is a predicted model, not a curated record. NCBI's taxonomy places the organism in Eukaryota, Metazoa, Chordata, Mammalia, Rodentia, Spalacidae. The transcript has 2 exons.
CGGCCCCGGCGGAGCGCAGCUCUACGCGCUCUCACGCUCUCUUUUUCUCCUUCUUUCCUCCGCGCUGCCUCCGGGUGAGAUCUUCCCGCCGAGUCUGGGAGCGGGGCAUGAGGAGCCACCGGGUAUCGCCUGGAAACGACCCAACUGCGCUCACACCUUGCCAGCGGCUGACGGGGACAUGAGCAGCACACUCGGGGUUCGGCGCCCGGCGGUCAGCCUCAGCCGGCGGCGGCCAGUGGGUCCACACUGCCCAGGAGAAUGAGGCAGGAACCCGGCGCCACCUCUUUCUCGUCCUCCUCCUCUUCGCCUUCCUCUGGCUCCGGCGCCCCGGGCCCGGGUCGGGUUGUGGCUCUGCUGCAUGCCCUGCGCGCCCCCCACCUGCCUCCGGAUGCUCUUCUCGGUUAACCUGACGAGGAAGAUAAAGACAUUUGCAACCAAGAUGGUAAUCACGAGUGGAAAUGAUGAAGACCGGGGAGGCCAAGAGAAAGAGAGCAAAGAGGAGAGUGUGCUGGCCAUGCUGGGUAUCAUCGGAACCAUCCUGAACCUGAUCGUCAUCAUCUUUGUGUACAUAUACACCACUCUGUGAACGGCCUCCAGAUGACUGUGAGACGGGGGUCCUGUGUCUCCACACAUCAGUGACCAGACAGUGCAAGGGACCAGUGGGUUUGAAGGCCACACAUUGCUCCAUUAAUGUACCUUCGAACUUUCUAACAGGUCACCAAAUAAGCCUGUCCUGCUGCCAGGAGCAGAAAACUCUAAAGCACAAUGAAUUCAACCAAACUCAUUCAGGCCACAAGGAACUCAGUGUCUCUGACAGGGGACCUGGCAGAGCGCUGGGAAGACCAGCCAUUGGCACCAGGGGUGAGCAAACGGGUGAGGGAACUCCUCAUCGGGGAGUGCUGACCACAUCCCAUACUGAAAAGAACGAGUGGGGAGGGCGCAGCUCAGCUGCCCACCUCCCGCCUCCCGGGGCCAGCGCUCCAUCUUCACUUGAUAAGCUUUAGGGGCGGUUCACCGACAGGCAUCCCAUUCAUCAAAAGUAUCCAGCAAUUUGAUACCGGGAGAUAACUUAUUUUUCCUUUUCCAUUGGCUUGAUGUGUGUAUCUGUUCAUAUCAAGGUAUAUAAAUAUAUAUUUUUAAUAAAUGUGCUCUAUUUUUUAGCAUGAACCAAAUAUUUGGAAAGGCGCUUCUGGACACAUAGUGUUGCUCUUGGUUUUAACCACUUUGCUCCCUCAACUGCAGAGCCUCUUUUAGUUCUAGAGCCACCCUGGUCCUCCCAGCUCACCUCAGUUCUUUUAUCUUUGUGCUCUCCCUCCCCAUCUCUGCCCCCUCCCUCUCCCCCUCCUCUCUCUCCUCCCUCUGCCCCUCUACUCUCUCCUCCCCUCACCUUGCUUGGCUCUUCUCCUCUCCUGUCUCUCAUCUCUCUGUCUCUCCCCUCUUCUGUCUCUCCUGUCUCUCCUGUCUCUCCUCCUCUCUCUCCUCUCCUCCCCUCUGUCUCCCCUCUCCUCUUCUCAUCUCUCGUCUGGAGGCUAUUUUUCCAUAAUGCCAGCCAUAGUCUUGGUUGGUGCAUGUUUUAAGAUUGUCCAGCGGCUUUUUGUUGCUCUGUUGGAGAUAUAAAACGAUGUGGGCAUGCGGACCUUAGAUGCACCCUGUCUUUACUGAGAAUCAUGCAUGAACAAGGGCUGGGUGACAGAUCAGCUCUAAACAUGUUUCAAAAGGACUACCGCGGGGAAAGAUGAGCAAGGCCCUGCCUGCAGGUCACCUGUUGCAGGGAGCAGUCAGCAUCUCCCUGGCGGUGUUGCUCAUCCAUUCCUGUAACCAUUCGUUUAUCAGAUUUUGAUUUUCAUGACCAUGAGAGAUGGGAAAUGGGUCAGCUCAGUGUGAGGUGUGCCAUUCCUUUCUUAGCAAGAUGCAUGGGGAUCUCUUCAGAAGUUGGGAUAUGAAUGACCUGGAACCUCCCACUGUGAGAAUGCAAGUCAGCUCCAACUGUAAAGACACCUCAGUGACAGGGGCUUUUCAAGAGCCCUGGGAGGAGAUUUAAUGAUCUCUCUAAAGGAUUGCUGCAUGUUUAAAGCUGGUUUCUUCCCACAUGAAGCUAUUUCCUCCCUGAGGGCACGGUUGAAUAAAUACAAAUUUGCCCUGUUCUCCUGGUUCCCUGAUGUAGCCCUGGCCUGGCUGCAGUGGUGCCUGACCUUUAAGGGGAGGGUCAGUAUUCUUUCAGCCCUGGGUGGAAAGAGGAGCAGUUUUCCCAGUUGGAGUCAGAUGACACUGAUGGGGUGUCUUCCUCCAGAUCCCUUCUUCUUCCCUGGAAUUCUACCAUCGAGUCCUUUCUUGGGCUCUGCUAUGGGACCAGGCUUUUUUAUAAAGCAAACACCUGUGAGCACCUGGAUCUGGCACCAAUUCAUGAGUUAUGGCCUCUUCCCCACCAGAAGGAAGGAAGGUGAGGUAUGAUCUGAGCACUUUAUAUACAAGUCACUGAGCCUUCUUAGUGGCCUGUGAGAAGGAGCGUCUCCCUGGUGUGGAAACGGCUCCAAUCAGGAAUCUUCCUGGAGUUACUUGUCACCCAGAGGAAUCAGAUUCCAGUGUGGAUCUGUCCAGUGGGCCUUGGGGGAGAUGCUGGAGGGGAAGAGAGGAAGAGAGGCACCGGUAGCAGGGAAGCCUGUCGUUUUACUGAGGGCUACGCUCUGCACUCCCCAGUGCCCAUAACGGGAAACAACCCCAGGGACUCCUUGGACACUGACAGAAUAUCACACAAGUAGACACGGCACAGAGGCUGGUUAGAAAUAUGAGACACAGAGGGGAGGGCACUACCUACCGGACUGUGCGAUUCUGAAAGCUUGUGAAUUCUGGCAGUGAACAGAAUGAAAAAUAAAGGCACAAUGGGAAAGAAAA